AAAAAUCUCACUCUCUCUCUCUCUCUCUCUCUCUCAAUGGCCAUCAGGCACCGGAGGAGAAGAUAAGGAGGGAUCUUUUUCCUAGAUCAGUUUCUAGUUUUCUUUCUCAAGCUUGGUUAGUCUUCGCUUCCUUCUUGUUCUUGUGCUUUUUCCUCUCCUUUUUCUCUUUCUCCUUUUAUGUUUCUUCUCUGUUGCUUUUGUUGACAUUAUUCUUCUUCUUUGUUUUCAAAUUGGAAAAAGGACAUUGCAGCAUUGCUUUUGGCUUCUAUAUGAGUAGGUUGUGAUGAAUCCUGGACAAGGGUUUUGAUACCAUAUCAAGUUGGCUGUAUUUUCUUGAUGGCGAGGCAAUCUUGUUCUUUUAGAGGUGAUCUUUUGCAGGCAUUUUGAUUUAUUAAUUAUCAAGAAUGGCGGAAUCUAAGCCUCCCUCUGCCCUCUUCCCCUUCCCUGCUUUUCUAAUUCCUAGGCUUUUUAUUUUUCAACAUCCUAUCUUCUAGGGUUACUGCAAUUUCUUUUUAUGCUUAAUCUUGCUGCUUAACAACUCAUUAGCAACAUAGGAUUCCAGGAGCCCCUCUUCUC
RNAcentral lists this long non-coding RNA (576 nucleotides) under Phoenix dactylifera (date palm). RNAcentral's name for it is "long non-coding RNA (PDAC_LNC021162)". The record is from RNAcentral. Lineage: Eukaryota; Viridiplantae; Streptophyta; Magnoliopsida; Arecales; Arecaceae.